This 397-nucleotide ribosomal RNA is filed under the name uncultured bacterium. RNAcentral's name for it is "bacterial SSU rRNA". It matches the Rfam family "Bacterial small subunit ribosomal RNA", at positions 358 to 772 of the family's 1533-position model. The record is from RNAcentral.
GGAAUAUUGGACAAUGGGGGCAACCCUGAUCUAGCCAUGCCGCGUGAGUGACGAAGGCCUUAGGGUCGUAAAGCUCUUUCGCCAGGGAAGAUAAUGACGGUACCUGGUAAAGAAGUCCCGGCUCACUCCGUGCCAGCAGCCGCGGUAAUACGGAGGGGACUAGCGUUGUUCGGAAUUACUGGGCGUAAAGCGCGCGUAGGCGGAUCGUUAAGUCUGGGGUGAAAUCCUGGGGCUCAACCCCAGAACUGCCCUUGAUACUGACGAUCUUGAGUUCGAGAGAGGUGAGUGGAAUUCCGAGUGUAGAGGUGAAAUUCGUAGAUAUUCGGAGGAACACCAGUGGCGAAGGCGGCUCACUGGCUCGAUACUGACGCUGAGGUGCGAAAGCGUGGGGAGCAAA